RNAcentral lists this unclassified non-coding RNA (370 nucleotides) under uncultured fungus. RNAcentral's name for it is "partial contains small subunit ribosomal RNA, internal transcribed spacer 1, and 5.8S ribosomal RNA". The stretch from base 1 to 73 matches the Rfam family "Eukaryotic small subunit ribosomal RNA", at positions 1759 to 1831 of the family's 1831-position model. The record is from RNAcentral. Lineage: Eukaryota; Fungi.
CCAAACUUGGUCAUUUAGAGGAAGUAAAAGUCGUAACAAGGUUUCCGUAGGUGAACCUGCGGAAGGAUCAUUAGUGAAUAAACUUGUGUGGGUUGUUGCUGGCCCUUUCGAGGGCAUGUGCACGCUCGCCAUCGUUUCAUUCCUCCCCUUCCACCUGUGCACUUUCUGUAGAUCAGGCCGUCGUCCCUCAGUUGUGCUUUGCACUCUGGUGUGAGGACCUGCUCUGGCUGUCCUUGGAUGGUCUUGGUCUAUGUCCUUAUCAACUCUUAUGUAUGGUACCGAACGAUUGUCUGGGUUCUUACAACCCAUAAAACCCUAUACAACUUUCAACAACGGAUCUCUUGGCUCUCGCAUCGAUGAAGAACGCAGC